UAUUGCAUGCUAUUUUAUUUAUAGUUUUUAUGUUUUUAUUUUUAGGUUUUUAUGUUUAGAUAAUUAUUUACGCUAUUUAUGUUGAAGUUACUAAUGCUCGUUUUGUUGUUUUUAUUUUUGUUGUUCUUUUACUUCACUGAGCCGAUGGUCAAUUGGAAACAGCCUCUCUGCCCUUUCGGGUAGGGGUAAGGCUCGUCUACAUAUUACCCUCCCCAG
RNAcentral lists this long non-coding RNA (216 nucleotides) under Nicotiana benthamiana. Its description in RNAcentral is "long non-coding RNA (NBEN_LNC015935)". Lineage: Eukaryota; Viridiplantae; Streptophyta; Magnoliopsida; Solanales; Solanaceae. The record is from RNAcentral.